This 290-nucleotide ribosomal RNA is filed under the name uncultured bacterium. RNAcentral describes it as "partial 16S ribosomal RNA". It matches the Rfam family "Bacterial small subunit ribosomal RNA", at positions 28 to 334 of the family's 1533-position model. The record is from RNAcentral.
GAUGAACGCUGGCGGCGUGCUUAACACAUGCAAGUCCGGGGAAAGCUUGGCUUCGGCUAAGUGGAUACCGGCGAACGGGUGAGUAACACGUGGAUAAUCUGCCCCCAUCACAGGGAUAACGUUUGGAAACGAACGCUAAUACCUGAUGAGGUGUAUACAUCAAAGCUUCGGCGGAUGGGGAUGAGUCUGCGUCUAAUUAGCUUGUUGGUGAGGUAACGGCUCUCCAAGGCAACGAUUAGUAGCUGGUUUGAGAGGAUGAUCAGCCACACUGGAACUGAGACACGGUCCAG